Molecule: ribosomal RNA, 2179 nt
Filed under: Salmonella enterica subsp. enterica serovar Panama
Lineage: Bacteria; Pseudomonadati; Pseudomonadota; Gammaproteobacteria; Enterobacterales; Enterobacteriaceae
Description: partial 23S ribosomal RNA
Rfam family: Bacterial large subunit ribosomal RNA
Source: RNAcentral
CUGCGAUAAGCGCCGGUAAGGUGAUAUGAACCGUUAUAACCGGCGAUACCCGAAUGGGGAAACCCAGUGUGAUUCGUCACACUAUCAUUAACUGAAUCCAUAGGUUAAUGAGGCGAACCGGGGGAACUGAAACAUCUAAGUACCCCGAGGAAAAGAAAUCAACCGAGAUUCCCCCAGUAGCGGCGAGCGAACGGGGAGGAGCCCAGAGCCUGAAUCAGCAUGUGUGUUAGUGGAAGCGUCUGGAAAGGCGCGCGAUACAGGGUGACAGCCCCGUACACAAAAGCGCAUGUGCUGUGAGCUCGAUGAGUAGGGCGGGACACGUGGUAUCCUGUCUGAAUAUGGGGGGACCAUCCUCCAAGGCUAAAUACUCCUGACUGACCGAUAGUGAACCAGUACCGUGAGGGAAAGGCGAAAAGAACCCCGGCGAGGGGAGUGAAAAAGAACCUGAAACCGUGUACGUACAAGCAGUGGGAGCCCCACCACUAAGCCAGUGGUGAACUCCACAUACGCAUCCUUUGCUGAGGAUACGGUUAACGGAGCGCAAGCGACGUUCAACCUCAAAAGAAGCAGAGGGGGCUUAGUGGUGGGGUGACUGCGUACCUUUUGUAUAAUGGGUCAGCGACUUAUAUUCUGUAGCAAGGUUAACCGUAUAGGGGAGCCGGAGGGAAACCGAGUCUUAACCGGGCGUUAAGUUGCAGGGUAUAGACCCGAAACCCGGUGAUCUAGCCAUGGGCAGGUUGAAGGUUGGGUAACACUAACUGGAGGACCGAACCGACUAAUGUUGAAAAAUUAGCGGAUGACCUGUGGCUGGGGGUGAAAGGCCAAUCAAACCGGGAGAUAGCUGGUUCUCCCCGAAAGCUAUUUAGGUAGCGCCUCGUGAAUUCAUCUCCGGGGGUAGAGCACUGUUUCGGCUAGGGGGCCAUCCCGGCUUACCAACCCGAUGCAAACUGCGAAUACCGGAGAAUGUUAUCACGGGAGACACACGGCGGGUGCUAACGUCCGUCGUGAAGAGGGAAACAACCCAGACCGCCAGCUAAGGUCCCAAAGUCAUGGUUAAGUGGGAAACGAUGUGGGAAGGCCCAGACAGCCAGGAUGUUGGCUUAGAAGCAGCCAUCAUUUAAAGAAAGCGUAAUAGCUCACUGGUCGAGUCGGCCUGCGCGGAAGAUGUAACGGGGCUAAACCAUGCACCGAAGCUGCGGCAGCGACACUCAGGUGUUGUUGGGUAGGGGAGCGUUCUGUAAGCCUGCGAAGGUGGCCUGUGAGGGUUGCUGGAGGUAUCAGAAGUGCGAAUGCUGACAUAAGUAACGAUAAAGCGGGUGAAAAGCCCGCUCGCCGGAAGACCAAGGGUUCCUGUCCAACGUUAAUCGGGGCAGGGUGAGUCGACCCCUAAGGCGAGGCCGAAAGGCGUAGUCGAUGGGAAACGGGUUAAUAUUCCCGUACUUGGUGUUACUGCGAAGGGGGGACGGAGAAGGCUAUGUUGGCCGGGCGACGGUUGUCCCGGUUUAAGCGUGUAGGUGUGUGUUCCAGGUAAAUCCGGUUCACUUUAACACUGAGGCGUGACGACGAGGCACUACGGUGCUGAAGCAACAAAUGCCCUGCUUCCAGGAAAAGCCUCUAAGCAUCAGGUAACAUCAAAUCGUACCCCAAACCGACACAGGUGGUCAGGUAGAGAAUACCAAGGCGCUUGAGAGAACUCGGGUGAAGGAACUAGGCAAAAUGGUGCCGUAACUUCGGGAGAAGGCACGCUGACAUGUAGGUGAAGUGAUUUACUCAUGGAGCUGAAGUCAGUCGAAGAUACCAGCUGGCUGCAACUGUUUAUUAAAAACACAGCACUGUGCAAACACGAAAGUGGACGUAUACGGUGUGACGCCUGCCCGGUGCCGGAAGGUUAAUUGAUGGGGUCAGCGCAAGCGAAGCUCCUGAUCGAAGCCCCGGUAAACGGCGGCCGUAACUAUAACGGUCCUAAGGUAGCGAAAUUCCUUGUCGGGUAAGUUCCGACCUGCACGAAUGGCGUAAUGAUGGCCAGGCUGUCUCCACCCGAGACUCAGUGAAAUUGAACUCGCUGUGAAGAUGCAGUGUACCCGCGGCAAGACGGAAAGACCCCGUGAACCUUUACUAUAGCUUGACACUGAACAUUGAGCCUUGAUGUGUAGGAUAGGUGGGAGGCUUUGAAGUGUGG